AGCUCCAAUAGCGUAUAUUAAAAUUGUUGCGGUUAAAAAGCUCGUAGUUGGAUUUCAGACUGGAUGACUGAGUGGGUUCAUAUGGACUCUACUUGGCUUAAUCCGUCUCGUAAGCCGGCCUGUUGCUUUGAUACUCUUCAUUGAGUGUCUUUGCGCACGGCAUGUUUACUUUGAAAAAAUUAGAGUGCUCAAAGCAGGCUAUUUAUAAGUCUGAAUAUUGUUGCAUGGAAUAAUGGAACAGGACUCGGUUGCUAUUUUGUUGAUUUUCAGUAUUUUAGCCGAGUAAUGAUUAACAGAGGUAUACGGGGGCAAAAGUAUGGUCGCGCUAGAGGUGAAAUUCAUGGAUCGUGGCCAGACUAACUACUGCGAAAGCAUUUGCCAAGGAUGCUUUCAUUAAUCA
This 400-nucleotide ribosomal RNA is filed under the name phytoplankton environmental sample. RNAcentral describes it as "partial small subunit ribosomal RNA". It matches the Rfam family "Eukaryotic small subunit ribosomal RNA", at positions 587 to 979 of the family's 1831-position model. The record is from RNAcentral.